This is a non-coding RNA of Rattus norvegicus (Norway rat), 4396 nucleotides long. NCBI's taxonomy places the organism in Eukaryota, Metazoa, Chordata, Mammalia, Rodentia, Muridae. The record is from RefSeq and is a predicted model, not a curated record.
CAAGCCACUGGGGUACACAGGCUAAGGAGAUGUCCCUGAGCUCUCCUGGAGGACAUGUCAUCACCCUACCACUCUCCUAGGGACUGGUAUUUCCCUACUGCAUGUUGAAGCAAGUUGAGCACACACCUCACCCAUAAUUGGACUGAGAUAAAUGUGGAAGUAUGAAAAUGGAAUUCUAUCAUGUCGGCCAUCUCAAAGUAACUUAAUUUACACACCAAAUAUUGAGUGCCUACUAAGUGCCAGGCCCCCUCAGCUGUUAGUGGACAAAGCCACCACCCUUAUGAAACACACACUAGCAAAAUGACUAAAUUAAAAGACCCCCUCCCAGAAAGGGAAUUAUACAAGCCCAAGGCCCUCAACUAUAGAAGUAAAAAAUAAGUUUUUAGAUAUGUGGGACAAGCUGACCCAUCAUUUAGACGAAACAGACCAGAAAAGAAAACAAAAUACAGAAACCAGACUAAAUUAUGGGCACUGCUCCAUGGGCCACCUGACAAGAAAAAGAAAAAGUCCCUGACCCCCCGGAAGCCCUGACCACCAUGUACUUUUUGCUAACUCACUGUUAUGAUUAUAGCCAAAAUAGGUAACAUACACGUAUGCCUCAUUUACUCCACCAAUCACAUCCCUGUAACCAUGCAUCUGCUUCUGUAAGCCUGCUUCUGCUCCCCAAUGCCCUAUAAAAACCCGUCCCUGGUUCUGCUAGGCGCACCAGUCUUCCAAAUUGACUGGGACGCCCACAGAUACCUGUGCUCCCUGAUCAAUAAAAAAUCCUCUUACAGAUUACAGCCGGUGGACUCGGACUGGUCAUUGGGGCUUGAGGAUCUCCCUCCUGAGAGAAGAUUCUCUCUGAGAGUCUUACAUAUGGGGGCUCGUCCGGGAUCGGAGAUCCUCUGCCUAGAGACCACCGACCACCCACCGGGAGACUGUUACAGGUCUUCUUUACCACUGAGGAAAGACGGAAUCCUACUAGAGGCCAAAAAGAAUGUUCCAGACAUGGAUAGAAGACCCUCACUCCUGACUGUUGACUUGAAUACCCCUGAAGGUAGGGAGUGCUCCAGGUCUGCCACCAGGCUCCAAGGGUGGGUCUCCGAGGGGCUAAAAAAUGCCCCACCAAUCUGGCUAAGAUAAAAAAAAGAUAUAAAGAGAGAAAGUUACAGAAAUUUAAAGGGUUAAGCUAAGUUGCUGAGAGUUAGUGUAAGUUACAGAAAAAAUAAAGUUAAAGUGUAGUUACAUAAGUGGACAACAUCUAAUAGCUGUAGAAGAAGAUGCAGAAGGUAUGAGAGAGAGACUGAGGAAGAAAAAGAGGAAAGAAGGUAAAAAGAGCAGGAAGCUAAGGAAGAAAAGAGACAAAAGGAAAAAGAAGCUAGAGAGCUAAAGAGAGAUAAAAGACAGGAGAGGAAUAUAUACUGGCCACAGUAGUUAGGGAACCUAGGAAGACAGUACCUGGCAACAGAAGAGAAUUCCUAGCUAAAGAUCAGUGUGCCUAUCGCAAGGAAAAAGGACACUGGGUCAGGGACUGCCCCAAGAAGAACAAGAGGGGCCUCUCCAGCAGCCCGGAAGGCAAGUCUCUUGGUCCUAGAGUGCUGGCUGUCCGCAAAGAUAGAAGGGAAGCCUGCCCAGUUGUUUUGUGAAUACGGGGGCCCAACACUCUGUGCUCCUACGCCCAAAUGGGCUAGUGUCCAGCAAAAGACCUUGAGUACAGGGGACUACCGGCAACAAAUGAUACUCAUGGACUACCCGAAGAACAGUGGACCUUGGCGUGGGCCGGGUAUCCCACUUGUUCUUUGUGAUUCCAGACUGCCCCUACGAGUCUAAACCCUGCAACCCUGCUCCUGGACCCUGACCUAGACACCCCCCUUCAUGACUGUCAACAGGAGCUCACUAAAGCACAGGAGUGGCAUAAAGAUCGGACUGAUCAGCCAACAGAGGGGGUAGAUGCCAUCUGGUUCAUAGAUGGGAGCAGCUUCUUACAGAAGGAAAAAGAUGGGCUGGGGCAGCAGUGGUAGAUGGAAACAGAGUCAUAUGGGCUCAGGCCCUACCAGAAGGCACCACUACUCAGAGAGUAGAGCUCGCUCCCCUUACCAAAGCCCUUGGGCUGAGAAAGAGACUUAACAUCUAUGUGGACAGCACGUAUGCCUUUGCUACAGCCCAUCAACAGAGGGGCCUGCUGACAUCUGAGGACAAGAAAAAAAAAAGAGAUUCUGGCUCUGUUAAGGGCCCUACAUGACCCAGCCAGGCCGAGGAAGAGACUCUGGUACACCUCAACGAGAAAGAAGAUCCUGCUAACUAAAUAUUAUGGCCCAGGUCUCAAGUAUCUCGUGGAACAGAUAGUGCACUGAUGUAUACCAUGCCAAAAGGUAACUGUUUUCAGGAAAGUUGACUGUGAUAGGAGGCUCCAUGGGGAACGGCCUAGAUACUACUGAGAAGUGGACUUCACAGAGAUAAAACCAGGAAAAUAUGGUUAUAAAUGUCUCCUAGUGUUUAUAGAUAUCUUUUCAGGAAUAGGUAGAAGCUUUCCCCACCAAGCAAGAGACGGCCUCAAUAGUCAUCAAGAAGAUACUAGAAGAAAUCUUCCACAGGUCUGGAGUGCCCAAGGUAAUCUGGUCAGACAACAGCCCUACUUUCGUUGCCAAGGUAAGCCAGGGUGUGGCCAAGUAUUUAGAGGUUGAUUAAAAAUUACGUUAUAUUUACAGACCUCAAAGUUCAGGACAGGUAGAAUAAAUAAAUAAGACUCUAAAAGAGACCCUGACCAAAUUAACCAUGGAGACUGGCACAGACUGGGUGACACUCCUUCCCUCUUGCUCUCUUUAGAGCAAGAAAUACCCCUUCCAGAUUCAGCUUUACCCCCUUUGAGAUCUUAUAUGGGGCCUCAGCUCCCCUGACUAUAUUAGAUGAUGUUACUGAACCAACAUGUCAUAGUAAUAAUGAUUUAUAUGCCAGGCUAAAAGACCUACAGGUGAUACAGAAAGAAAUCUGCUCACAGCUGACAGCAGCCUAUGCCCCGGAGACCCCUGAGACAUGUCAUCAGUUCCAGGUCGGAGACUACAGCUACACUGAGCCCAGACACUCGAGCCUCGCUGGAAAGGACCGUACCUGGUGCUGCUGACCACCCUGACAGCCGUCAAUUCUCAGCCCUCACCAGCCGUGUACUAGCUGUUGGGGCUGAGAGCUGGGACCUAGAGGGACUCUCAGAUCUUCAAAAAGCUUUCUAGACUUAAGUGACUGGGAGGUUGCUAUAAUGCUCACUUGAGGAGUGUGUUUUAGAAACAAGAAUUUCAUGUUUGCCUGUUUGCCCUGGGUUCCCUCGGAAUAGGUGUAAAGAUAGGCUUGAUUUUUAUUGCAAAUGAUGUAACAUUACAUAUGUUAGCACUCCUAACACUUCUUGGGACUGUGCCUCAGGGAUCACAACCUAUAUAAGUUUAGAAGUUCUAAAAGACCUUGGUGUAUAGGUUCAGAUAGUGUCCAGAUUAGAAUCCUGAUACUAAAGACUUAUAAGACACAAAAGAGAGUUGAAAAUUAUUUAAGGCUAUCUAGGUGCUACAAGGACAGCACAAGGACAUCUGCUGUUGCCCUACAAUGCAAGGCUUAUAGAGAAUUCAGAACUGCCAUUGACUCAGAUAUAAAAAGAAUAAAAAAGACUUUUUAGCUGACCUCCAAGAACACCUAACCUCCCUCUCAGAGGUAGUCCUUCAAAAUAAGAAAAGAUUAGACCUGAUAUUCCUUAAAAAAAGAGUCUGUGUGCUACACUAAAAGAAGAAUGUUGUUUCUAUACAGAUCAGACAGAAAUAAUAAUAAGAGAUAUAGUCUUUCAGUCAUUCAAACUUUUGUGCUGAGACAACAGUAUCAGAUGGUGAAACAACAAGAAACAGAGGUACCUUAACCAAGUUGAGUAGAAGAUUCCACUCAAGGACAAAAAGAAAAUGGGGGAAUAAAAGACCCCCUCCCAGAAAGGGAAUUAUACAAGCCCAAGGCCCUCAACUAUAGAAGUAAAAAAUAAGUUUUUAGAUAUGUGGGACAAGCUGACCCAUCAUUUAGACGAAACAGACCAGAAAAGAAAACAAAAUACAGAAACCAGACUAAAUUAUGGGCACUGCUCCAUGGGCCACCUGACAAGAAAAAGAAAAAGUCCCUGACCCCCCGGAAGCCCUGACCACCAUGUACUUUUUGCUAACUCACUGUUAUGAUUAUAGCCAAAAUAGGUAACAUACACGUAUGCCUCAUUUACUCCACCAAUCACAUCCCUGUAACCAUGCAUCUGCUUCUGUAAGCCUGCUUCUGCUCCCCAAUGCCCUAUAAAAACCCGUCCCUGGUUCUGCUAGGCGCACCAGUCUUCCAAAUUGACUGGGACGCCCACAGAUACCUGUGCUCCCUGAUCAAUAAAAAAUCCUCUUACAGAUUA